RNAcentral lists this ribosomal RNA (387 nucleotides) under Nodipecten subnodosus. RNAcentral describes it as "partial 16S ribosomal RNA". It matches the Rfam family "Bacterial large subunit ribosomal RNA", at positions 1857 to 2479 of the family's 2925-position model. The record is from RNAcentral. Lineage: Eukaryota; Metazoa; Mollusca; Bivalvia; Pectinida; Pectinidae.
GCCUUCCCGGUGAGUCUGCGGGCUUAAACGGACGCGGUAAAGCGUGCUAAGGUAGCUAAAUUAUGGCCUAUUAAUUGUAGGUCCUGUGAAUGGUUUGACGAGUCUUCAACUGUCUCUAGUUUUUUUGGUGAACUUGAAUUGGAUGUGCAAAUGCUUCCAUGGGUAAGAAAGACGAGAAGACCCCGUGAAGUUAGAAAUUUUGGUUGUUGGUGAGCUUUUGGGGUGUAGGUUAAGCCACUUUAAGUGGUUUAAAGAAAAGUGAACAGCGAUAGUUUUGGCUGGGGCAGCAAAGAAGCAAGGCUAGACUUCUUUAGUUUAAAGACAGGUGUGUGACGACCCACAAGUUUGUUGGUGUGAUUAGCAGAAGAAGUUACUCCGGGGAUAACA